AGCCAAGAUGGCCAAAUAGAACAGCUCCAGUAUACAGCUCCCAGUAUGAGCGACGAAGAAGACGGCAGAAGACGGGUGAUUUCUGCAUUUCCAUCUGAGCCAUCUUUUCAUCACAAUGGGACAGCCUGUCUGAGAAUGAGGCCAAUGCAAAGAAGAAAGUGGAGCCCACGUACAGAGAGAUGAUACAUUGAUGAUAUCAUGUGUCCUAGAUUCAUGCUUCAUAUGAAGGAGUCCCAUUAUACCGAUACUGAAACACUGAAGUCUUGUUCGUGUCUUUUUUAUGUUUUUCAGAUUGGGUAAUUUCUAUUGAUCUGUUUUCAUUAUCAUUGACUCUGAUUUUCUUUUGCUCUCCAAUUGGCUGUAAAGACCAUUGGUCCAUUUUUCAAUUUAUAUGUUUUAAUUUGAGAUCCUAGAAUUUUCAUUUGUUUCUUUACAAAUAAUUAAUCUGUUGAUUUUCACUUUGAAAUCACUCUUUUUCUGUUAAUUUAACACGUGAUAUAUUGACAUUUUUUAAAUUGAUUGCUCUUUCUCUGAAUCUUGCUUAACAUUGCCUCAUUUCAUUAUGCUUUUGGUAAAUUUUGAUUGUCUACUAGACAUUUUGAAUGUAUGAUGCACUGUGGACUCUGGCUUCAGUUAUCUUCCUCUGAAGUGCAUUUAUUUUUAUUUUAAUAAGUACUUAAAUUAUCGACUGAUCACAAUGAAGUUGUGCAUUCUUUGGUUUACAAUUUUUUUUCUUCCUUCAGAUUUCCCUUAAUUCUAUGGUCAGUCUUUAGUCCUGGGACCUAGCCUCUACUCCUAAAGCUUACCCCGUCUGGGGUUUCAGUGGAAAACCCAAGGUGACUACCACUUGUCUAAUGGUAGUAUCCAAGCUCCGAAUUCUUUUUUUUUUUUUAACCUGUGGUAGAGAACAGCUGAAAUUUCCACUCAGCUUUUUCAGAUAUGUACUUAUUGCUCUCUUCUACGUUCUUUGGAUAUAUGUGAAAUUCAGGGUCAGCCACGAUGUGAGAGGAGUUCACAGGUAAAUUGUGGAGCCAACCCAAUGUGGCUUUCCCCUUAUCAGGACUAGUCUCUCAAUUUCCAGAUACUUUGUCAGCUGCAGUCUCUGUCCUCUAACACAGUGGUCCCCAAGCUUUCUG
Molecule: long non-coding RNA, 1136 nt
Filed under: Homo sapiens (human)
Lineage: Eukaryota; Metazoa; Chordata; Mammalia; Primates; Hominidae
Description: HSALNT0167839
Source: RNAcentral